GAACGUGCGAAACGUAAUGUGAAUUGCAGAAUUCAGUGAAUCAUCGAAUCUUUGAACGCAUCUUGCGCCCCUUGGUAUUCCGAGGAGCAUGCCUGUUUGAGUGUCGUGAACUACUCUCAAUUUCAAUCUUUUUGUUUGAAGUUGGAUUUGGGUGUUGUCAUGGAUCACCAUGACUCGUCCUAAAUGCAUUAGCGAUCUGGCUUGAUCACACACAAUGUGAUAAGAAAAGCAUUGUUAUAAUUGAGUCAAGACCGCUUCUAAUUGUCGCAAGACAAAAGUCAUUUUCAUGUCAUUUGACCUCAAAUCAGGUAGGACUACCCGCUGAACUUAA
This 331-nucleotide unclassified non-coding RNA is filed under the name uncultured Geastrum. RNAcentral's name for it is "sequence contains ITS1". The stretch from base 1 to 106 matches the Rfam family "5.8S ribosomal RNA", at positions 50 to 154 of the family's 154-position model. The record is from RNAcentral. Lineage: Eukaryota; Fungi; Basidiomycota; Agaricomycetes; Geastrales; Geastraceae.